RNAcentral lists this long non-coding RNA (631 nucleotides) under Marmota monax (woodchuck). The record is from RNAcentral. Lineage: Eukaryota; Metazoa; Chordata; Mammalia; Rodentia; Sciuridae.
GAUCGCUUGCUUCUCACCUGUGAUCCCUCAAUACUGCACUCACUCCAUAACGCGUCAUAACCUCCCCAGGCAUCACUCAGACCGUCCCCUCUCCCCUGCCCCCGAUGGGCCACUCAAGUCAUGUCUCCUAGCAACUCUUCCCAUGAAGCAUUUGCUGCAGGCUCCUGAUUCUCCACACGCAGCGUGGCACAUGGACCCAGAUCCAGCAGUUCACCACUGUGCCCACAACAGACCCAGACGCUCCGAUGACCGAGAGGAGGGACUGAGGCCCUGGCCCUGGCCUGCCCUGCCCUCCCUCUCCAAGCUCCUCUUACUCUUUGCUGUGACCAUGGUGCCUCUCUGCCUGGGGACCUGCAUGUGGCAAUUCCCUCUUGUUACUCCAUCUUUGCCACACACCAUACCUGGACCAGCUGGAGGUGGCCACAGCACUGCCUUGUUGUAGUCAGGAUAAAAAUGACAGCCAAAGAGGUACAGAAGGGAAUUAGAGUCCAGCAAAACCCAGUGUCUGUAUACUGUAGUCCAUAAAAAUAGGACUUUCAAAUCCUUUCCACCUACCCACGGUGUUUGCUCCUGUGCAAAUAUCUAGUGCACGUCUAACCCUGAACCACCCUUCCCAAGGCCUCAAAGAAAC